Molecule: ribosomal RNA, 468 nt
Filed under: uncultured bacterium
Lineage: Bacteria
Description: partial 16S ribosomal RNA
Rfam family: Bacterial small subunit ribosomal RNA
Source: RNAcentral
GACGAACGCUGGCGGCGUGCUUAACACAUGCAAGUCGAACGGAAAGGUCCUGCUUUUGUGGGGUGCUCGAGUGGCGACCGGGUGAGUAACACGUGGGUAACCUGUACCUGACUUUGGGAUAACUUCAGGCAACUGGGGCUAAUACCGGCUAGGAGCUCCUGCUGCAUGGUGGGGGCUGGUAAGUUUCGGCGGUUGGUGAUGGACCUGCGUCUUAACGGCUUGUUCGUGGGGUAGUGGCUUACGAAGGCUUUGACGGGUAGCCGGGCUGAGAGGGUGACCGUGCUCAUUGGGACUGGGAUACGGCCCAGACUCAUACGCGAGGGAGCAGUGGGGGAUAGUGCACUAUGGGCGGGAGCCUGAUGCAGCAACGCCGCGUCCGGGAUGGCGGCCUUCGGGUUGGAGUCCGCUUUCGCCUGUGACGAAGCGUGAGUGAAGAGAAUGGGUAGAGAAGCACCGGCUAACUACGUG